UCAACGGUACAAUUAAUCAAAAAACCCCUUACCCUUAACCCUUAACCCUUACCCUUACCCUUACCCUUGUUAGUUUUCACACUUGCACACAACCAAAUCUAUAUUAUUCUACAGUUCGCAACUCUUCUCUCACUGAAUCAUCAUCGUCAUCAUUAUCAUCAUCACUCUAUAUUAUAAUAUAGUCAUCCUCAACUCUCUCUGAAAGUGCAAUAUGGCUUACAUGUGUGCAGACAGUGGCAACCUUAUGGCUAUUGCUCAACAAGUUAUCAAGCAGAAGCAGCAACAAGAGCAACAGCAGAACCACCAUCAUCAACAACAUCAACAACAUCAUCAACAACAACAACAACACAUGGGUGGUAUUAUCAACCCUCUAUCUCUCCAUCCAUGGAACAAUACUCCACCUUUGGGUUUUCCCCUCCCUCCAAACGAAUUUCCGGAUCCUUUUCAAGUCGGGUCGGGUCCCGACAACCCGGACCCUGCUUUUCAGUUCCCUCCCCUCGACCCUCAUUCCGCCGCCUUUAGAUUCUCCGAUUUCGACUCCGACGAGUGGAUGGACACCUUAAUGGUCGCUGCCGACUCGACGGAACCACCCGCGUGGCAGAGCAAUGUCGAUUUUGGCCUUUACGCUUCCAACCCAUUUGCGACCCGACUCUCCCCGCCGUCGGAUCUCAACCGGGUCAUCUUCUCUUCCGAAUCUCAAUCCACUAUCCCUCUUCAACCCACUCAACUACCCACCCCGCCACCGCUAUCUCCUCCACGCAAAGACCCUUUUCCGACGAAGGCCACAGUGCACAGAAACGACACCGUCGUCGUCGUCGGUGGCUCAUCUGAAACAGAGUCUGCGCACCCGCUUCUGAAAGCGUUAACGGAGUGUGCUCUUCUCGCCGAGACUGAACCGGAUCAGGCCUCAGAAUCUCUUACCCAUUUGAGGAAAUCAGUGUCCCAGCAUGGAAACCCUACACAGAGAGUUGCCUUCUACUUCUCCGAAGCUCUAACCCGCAAAAUAUCCAUGGAGAAAGAUAAAAAGAAGAACUUGGCAAUGGUGGAAGCUACUACUACUACUACUAUUACCACUACUUCGGAGGAGUUGACGCUAUGUUAUAAAGCUUUGAACGAUGCUUGCCCUUAUUCAAAGUUUGCACAUUUAACUGCGAAUCAAGCCAUCUUGGAAGCCACGGAAGGAGCCACUAAGAUUCACAUCGUUGAUUUUGGGAUCGUGCAAGGGAUUCAAUGGGCAGCACUGUUGCAAGCAUUUGCAACUCGUUCAUCUGGGAAGCCUGAGAGUGUAAGGAUUUCUGGGAUACCAGCUAUGGCUCUUGGAACUUCUCCUGGAACUUCUCUUUCAGCCACUGGGAAUCGUCUCUCUGAGUUUGCAAAGCUUCUUGAGUUGAAUUUCGAGUUUAGACCUAUUUUGACCCCUAUUCAUGAGCUCAAUGAGGGUAGCUUUUGUAUUCAACCAAACGAGGCCUUGGCUGUUAACUUUAUGCUUCAGUUGUAUAAUCUUUUGGAUGAGAAUUCAACUGCUGUGGAGACUGCACUUCGGUUAGCUAAGUCUUUGAACCCCAAGAUUGUAACCCUUGGUGAGCAUGAAGCAAGCUUGACCUGUGUUGGGUUUUUCCAACGGUUCAAGACUGCAUUGAAGUAUUUCUCAGCUUUGUUUGAGUCUCUGGAACCAAACUUGGAAUCUGACUCGCCGGAAAGGUUCCAAGUGGAGAGUCUUCUGCUCGGCCGGCGUAUCGCCGCCGUGAUUGGGUCCGAGUUGCCGGGGAGUGUAAGAGAAAGGAUGGAGGACAAAGAGCAGUGGAGGGUUCUGAUGGAAAGAUCUGGUUUUGAAUCAGUGAGUUUCAGCCAUUAUGCAAUUAGUCAAGCUAAGAUGCUUUUGUGGAAUUACAGCUAUAGUUCUCUGUAUUCUCUCAUUGAAUCUGAACCGGGUUUUUUGUCUCUGGCGUGGAAAGAUGUCCCUCUCUUGACUGUUUCUUCGUGGCGUUAAUGGAUUAUUGGCCUCAAAACUGGAAAUGGGUUUCCACCUGGUCCUUUUUUCUCUGGUGUGGAACAACUAAUUGUCUAUAUGUUCCUUUGAUGAUCAUGCUAGGCACUUCGAUUGAUCUUUCCUUGGUGAAGUUAUGCAGAUUUGAUGUGUUAUUGGUUUUUGGAGCUCUCUUCCCUCUAUCUCUAUGGGCCAUACCAAUAGCUUUGUUGUCUGUCUCUUUCGUGCUGCAAUCAAGUUCCUUUUCUUCCUGGCACAGCAGAGAUAGGGAAGAUGAAUCAGCCUCUUAAGUCUUGGUAAAACGAUUGGCGAGAACGUGGCAGGAAAGACUAGCACUGCUGUUUCUGAUCUUGAGUGAUUGUGACAAUUCAUGGUUGUGACUUGUGAAUAGUACGUUCUCUUAUUGAGCUUGAUCUUGGAAAGGGUCCCAUUAAUGUAGACUACACUUUGUGAGGCUGGCUGGGUUUGCGUCCUAUUCACCAAUUUAUAUGGUAGUUCAUAACUCAUCCAGGACCAUUCCUCAUCUAGAACGGCAUUACCCCACUUGACAGAAAUCAAACACAAGUGCUUCUAUAAUAGAAGACUGAACAAUUGUUACCUCUAAGUGCUUCAUUCAUAUUUUUUUUAAUUGCUAAUUUGGAUAACUUUUAUACGAAAUUUGUGUUAAUGAACAGCUGACAUUAGUUUGAAAUGGGACCAUACAUUGGGAUUAAUUGUAUUGUGUUACGUAACUUUUGAGGGGAAGAUGCAGGAAAUGAGUAAAUUCAGUAAGUUUCAGGUUUGUGUUGCUAUGUCAAUGUUACUCCUGGUUUCCAUGUCACAGAAAUAUCAUGAGCAAUCAAAUCAAAACCAUGGGUGUGCCUGCCAUGUAUAUGAAGGCAAACCAUGAA
This is an RNA transcript of Gastrolobium bilobum, 2877 nucleotides long. It is a transcript of the gene named SCARECROW-LIKE protein 7-like, with no coding region annotated. The transcript has 3 exons. Lineage: Eukaryota; Viridiplantae; Streptophyta; Magnoliopsida; Fabales; Fabaceae. The record is from RefSeq and is a predicted model, not a curated record.